UCCACGCCCUAAACGAUGAAUGCUAGUCGUCGGAAAGCUCGUCUUUUCGGUGAUGCAGUUAACACAUUAAGCAUUCCGCCUGGGGAGUACGGUCGCAAGAUUAAAACUCAAAGGAAUAGACGGGGACCCGCACAAGUGGUGGAGCAUGUGGUUUAAUUCGAAGAUACGCGAAGAACCUUACCAAGCCUUGACAUUGAUUGAAUUCACCAGAGAUGGAGAAGUGCCUUUCGAGG
This 233-nucleotide ribosomal RNA is filed under the name uncultured bacterium. RNAcentral describes it as "partial 16S ribosomal RNA". It matches the Rfam family "Bacterial small subunit ribosomal RNA", at positions 794 to 1025 of the family's 1533-position model. The record is from RNAcentral.